CAAGACCUGCGCUUUUGGAGCGGCCGACGCCUGAUUAGCUUGUUGGUAAGGUAAAAGCUUACCAAGGCUUCGAUCAGUAGCUGGUCUGAGAGGACGACCAGCCACACUGGGACUGAGACACGGCCCAGACUCCUACGGGAGGCAGCAGUGGGGAAUUUUGGACAAUGGGGGCAACCCUGAUCCAGCCAUGCCGCGUGAGUGAAGAAGGCCUUCGGGUUGUAAAGCUCUUUCAGCCGGAACGAAACGGUUACGGUUAACACCCGUGACUACUGACGGUACCGGAAGAAGAAGCACCGUCUAACUACGUGCCAGCAGCCGCGGUAAUACGUAGGGUGCGAGCGUUAAUCGGAAUUACUGGGCGUAAAGCGUGCGCAGGUGGUUUUGUAAGUCAGAUGUGAAAGCCCCGGGCUCAACCUGGGAACU
This 423-nucleotide ribosomal RNA is filed under the name uncultured bacterium. RNAcentral's name for it is "bacterial SSU rRNA". It matches the Rfam family "Bacterial small subunit ribosomal RNA", at positions 207 to 622 of the family's 1533-position model. The record is from RNAcentral.